GAUGAACGCUAGCUACAGGCUUAACACAUGCAAGUCGAGGGGCAGCACAGUGUAGCAAUACACGGGUGGCGACCGGCGCACGGGUGCGUAACGCGUAUCCAACCUUCCCGAUACUCUUGGAUAGCCUUCCGAAAGGGAGAUUAAUACAAGAUGGUGUUUCACUUUCGCAUGUUAUUGAAACUAAAGAUUUAUCGGUAUCGGAUGGGGAUGCGUGACAUUAGAUAGUAGGCGGGGUAACGGCCCACCUAGUCUACGAUGUCUAGGGGUUCUGAGAGGAAGGUCCCCCACACUGGUACUGAGACACGGACCAGACUCCUACGGGAGGCAGCAGUGAGGAAUAUUGGUCAAUGGUCGAGAGACUGAACCAGCCAAGUCGCGUGAGGGAAGACUGCCCUAUGGGUUGUAAACCUCUUUAGUCGGGUAGCAAAAAGCGGACGUGUCCGCCAUUGAGCGUACCCGAAGAAUAAGCAUCGGCUAACUCCGUGCCAG
Molecule: ribosomal RNA, 489 nt
Filed under: uncultured bacterium
Lineage: Bacteria
Description: bacterial SSU rRNA
Rfam family: Bacterial small subunit ribosomal RNA
Source: RNAcentral